Molecule: long non-coding RNA, 1510 nt
Filed under: Mytilus galloprovincialis (Mediterranean mussel)
Lineage: Eukaryota; Metazoa; Mollusca; Bivalvia; Mytilida; Mytilidae
Source: RNAcentral
GUUUCCUUUGAACGCGUGCUAUCAUGAAACUGUACGUACCUUAGUAUCUGUACUCUACGUUUGAGACAAAUUAAUAUCAGAGAAAUAAAUCAUCUUUUUUUUUAUUUUUUUGUUACAAUAAUAAAUUCUUUGAACAAAAACACAGAACUACAAUUACGCGUAAUAAUUUCUGAUUCUGUAUUCAAAUAUGCACUUGUUAUCAAUACGCAUUUGGUUAAUAUGAAAUCACAUUUCAUGAUAAUGUAUUCAAUAUCAUCUACUUGAAUGAAUAUUUAGAAAUAUGAUGUUUACUGUUAUAUCAUUCUUACCUUCUCGUCGUUAACCUCGUUUACUCAAACCACACAACAAACCAUAAAAAUACAAUGAUUGGGCAUAUGUAUUAACUCUUUACAAUUACAGUAUCUGAAACCUUGUAUUUGUAUUAAUUGGGUAGAAUUUCUGAAGAUUAUCAAUAUAGAAUGAACCCACUGAAUGUAUCAAUAUUUCUUUAUAUUGCUUCGCCUGAACGAUUUUCCAUUUGCCUUCUUAAACCAACAUGCAUGCAUUUACAGAAAAAGCGAAGUGGAAAUACACUAAUAAAAUAGCCAUAAAACAUGAAUCGACUGUGACGGUGAUUUCUGUAUAUAUUUAUUUAUUUGACAAUCCUAUUCUUAAACAUGUAUUUCAUGCUAAUCAAGGAUCCCAUGAUCAGAAUUGAUUCAUCUAUAUAAGGGUGGUCAUUGCUUUAUUAUAGGUUGUUUCUGUUGUGUCGUUGUUCUCCUCUUAUAUUUGAUGUGUUUUUCUCAGUUUCAGUCUGUAACCCGGAUUUGUUCCCAAUCGAUUUAUGAAUUUCGAACAGCGGUAUACUAAUGCUCACCUUAGGUGGCGAUGGAUGGAAACAAAAAAGUUCAUAAAUUUAUAUAAUAUACGUUUUGUAGUCUACUUAAUUGUUGAUCAAUACAAUUUUGAUUACUAUGGAAUUUCAUUAUGUGAAUUAAGUUUUCAUACUAUAGCACACAAUUUUGACUUUGCAGUUUCCAGCUUUUUGUAAUGAUUCACCAUUACGUCACUAACAUGCUAACGAAUAUAAAACACAAUCAACUAAAAAUUCUAAAUUGCAUCACAUACUUUUAAAUGUUCGUGUACACUCAUUUGCAUGUCAUUGGUAACAAAGACUGUCUAAAUCAACAUUAUUUUUAUUCCAAAGACCAUAGCUUCGAUUUAUUUUCAUGUCUAAAUCUAUGUCUGAUAUGACUAUUUAUAUGAUAAUACUUAUGGAUGUCAACGAGUGCUCAAGUAUCGCUCAGUAGUACCGAGUAUCGAAUACCAAAAUGAUACUCUACUAAUCGAUGUUCUGUUGAAAUAUUGUUGCUUUCAUAAGCACCUUCCUGGAAAAUAAAUAUUAAUCAACAUUAAAAUCCUUUUCGAAUGUUUGCGUUUAUUUGUCAUGUUUUUUAUACCGUCAGAGCAAAUGUUGUCAUCAGCAGGACUGUUAAUUACGUAACAGAGUUGAGAAAUCACCUAUCCCCUG